Long non-coding RNA from Talpa occidentalis (Iberian mole), 395 nucleotides. RefSeq lists it as uncharacterized. The transcript has 3 exons. The record is from RefSeq and is a predicted model, not a curated record. Lineage: Eukaryota; Metazoa; Chordata; Mammalia; Eulipotyphla; Talpidae.
CCGACAUUUGAGGCUGAUAGUUCUCAGCCUUCUCUCACCUUAGCGGUCUGAGUGGAAGCAGCAGCCUUUCCAGGCACUGUCAGCAGGCAGGAUUCUCUUCAAGGAAGUCACAAGUCAGCUACACCUGAAAUCCUCUUCAUUCUCAGUAAAGCAUGGUGUACUGCCCUGGAAUCCUCUUACAGGCUCUGGAAACUGGACUAAUGCUGGGAUCUUAAUGAUUUAACCUGUUCUGAAGAGAGAAGCUUUCUUCCUGGCCCCAGGACUGGGGAGGACUGAGAAAAGAAGCCCUCAGCAAGGAGGAUUGGGGGAAGAUUCCUUGUGAUAAAUCUGUGCCCACAGCCCAGUCUGCUGCAGUGGUGGGGGAACAGGCAGAACCAUCAGCCACAUCAUUCUUU